AGCUCCAAUAGCGUAUAUUAAGGUUGUUGUGGUUAAAAAGCUCGUAGUUGGAUCUCGGCGGUCUGCGGGCUGUUCACUUGCUAGUGCUACUGCCCUACAGACUGUAGUUAGAGUGCUCAAAGCAGGCUUUUACGCCUGAAUAUUCGUGCAUGGAAUAAUAGAAUAGGAAGUCGUUUCUAUUUUGUUGGUUUUUGGACAUCGACUUAAUGAUUAAUAGGGACAGUCGGGGGCAUUUGUAUUCAAACGACAGAGGUGAAAUUCUUGGACCGUUUGAAGACAAACUACUGCGAAAGCAUUUGCCAAGAAUGUUUUCA
Molecule: ribosomal RNA, 314 nt
Filed under: uncultured eukaryote
Lineage: Eukaryota
Description: SSU rRNA
Rfam family: Eukaryotic small subunit ribosomal RNA
Source: RNAcentral